This 253-nucleotide ribosomal RNA is filed under the name uncultured bacterium. Its description in RNAcentral is "partial 16S ribosomal RNA". It matches the Rfam family "Bacterial small subunit ribosomal RNA", at positions 524 to 776 of the family's 1533-position model. The record is from RNAcentral.
UACGGGGGGGGCAAGCGUUGUUCGGAAUUACUGGGCGGAAAGGGCGUGUAGGCGGCCAACUAAGUCCGACGUGAAAUCCCCAGGCUUAACCUGGGAACUGCGUCGGAUACUGGAUGGCUUGAAUCCGGGAGAGGGAUGCAGAAUUCCAGGUGUAGCGGUGAAAUGCGUAGAUAUCUGGAGGAAUACCGGUGGCGAAGGCGGCAUCCUGGACCGGCAUUGACGCUGAAGCGCGAAAGCUAGGGGAGCAAACGGG